UACGAAGGAUGCAAGCGUUAUCCGGAUUUAUUGGGUUUAAAGGGAGCGUAGGCGGUCUUAUAAGUCAGUGGUGAAAUCUUGUCGCUUAACGACAAACGUGCCAUUGAUACUGUAGGACUUGAGUACAGAUGCCGUUGGCGGAAUGUGUCAUGUAGCGGUGAAAUGCAUAGAUAUGACACAGAACACCGAUUGCGAAGGCAGCUGACGAAACUGUAAACUG
RNAcentral lists this ribosomal RNA (220 nucleotides) under uncultured bacterium. RNAcentral's name for it is "partial 16S ribosomal RNA". It matches the Rfam family "Bacterial small subunit ribosomal RNA", at positions 524 to 742 of the family's 1533-position model. The record is from RNAcentral.